Molecule: ribosomal RNA, 465 nt
Filed under: Vreelandella stevensii
Lineage: Bacteria; Pseudomonadati; Pseudomonadota; Gammaproteobacteria; Oceanospirillales; Halomonadaceae
Description: partial 16S ribosomal RNA
Rfam family: Bacterial small subunit ribosomal RNA
Source: RNAcentral
CCUACGGGUGGCCGCAGUGGGGAAUAUUGGACAAUGGGGGGAACCCUGAUCCAGCCAUGCCGCGUGUGUGAAGAAGGCCCUCGGGUUGUAAAGCACUUUCAGUGAGGAAGAACGCCUGGUGGUUAAUACCCAUCAGGAAAGACAUCACUCACAGAAGAAGCACCGGCUAACUCCGUGCCAGCAGCCGCGGUAAUACGGAGGGUGCGAGCGUUAAUCGGAAUUACUGGGCGUAAAGCGCGCGUAGGUGGCUUGAUAAGCCGGUUGUGAAAGCCCCGGGCUCAACCUGGGAACGGCAUCCGGAACUGUCAAGCUAGAGUGCAGGAGAGGAAGGUAGAAUUCCCGGUGUAGCGGUGAAAUGCGUAGAGAUCGGGAGGAAUACCAGUGGCGAAGGCGGCCUUCUGGACUGACACUGACACUGAGGUGCGAAAGCGUGGGUAGCAAACAGGAUUAGAUACCCCGGUAGUC